UCAGGCCUAACACAUGCAAGUCGAACGCCCUCUUCGGAGGGAGUGGCAGACGGGUGAGUAACGCGUGGGAACCUACCCUUUAGUACGGAAUAAUCCAUGGAAACGUGGCCUAAUACCGUAUACUCCCUUCGGGGGAAAGAUUUAUCGCUAAAGGAUGGGCCCGCGUCAGAUUAGCUAGUUGGUGGGGUAAUGGCCUACCAAGGCUACGAUCUGUAGCUGGUCUGAGAGGAUGAUCAGCCACACUGGGACUGAGACACGGCCCAGACUCCUACGGGAGGCAGCAGUGGGGAAUCUUGGACAAUGGGCGCAAGCCUGAUCCAGCCAUGCCGCGUGAAUGAUGAAGGCCUUAGGGUCGUAAAAUUCUUUCGCCAGGGAAGAUAAUGACGGUACCUGGUAAAGAAGCCCCGGCUAACUCCGUGCCAGCAGCCGCGGUAAUACGGAGGGGGCUAGCGUUGUUCGGAAUUACUGGGCGUAAAGCGUGCGUAGGCGGAUCAUUAAGUUGGGGGUGAAAUCCCGGGGCUCAACCUCGGAACUGCCCUCAAAACUGGUGAUCUAGAGUUUGGUAGAGGUAAGCGGAAUUCCGAGUGUAGGGGUGAAAUCCACAGAUAUUCGGAGGAACACCAGUGGCGAAGGCGGCUUACUGGGCCAAUACUGACGCUGAGGCACGAAAGCGUGGGGAGCAAACAGGAUUAGAUACCCU
Molecule: ribosomal RNA, 700 nt
Filed under: uncultured bacterium
Lineage: Bacteria
Description: bacterial SSU rRNA
Rfam family: Bacterial small subunit ribosomal RNA
Source: RNAcentral